GGUCUACGUGUUCGUGCGGUGACCAGGACCUAAGACACUCUUCACGGACUGCGCCCGGAGAAGACCCGGUGAUUCGUCGACGGACGCGGGUUCGAUUCCCGCCAUCUCCACCC
RNAcentral lists this transfer-messenger RNA (113 nucleotides) under Candidatus Brevibacterium intestinigallinarum. RNAcentral describes it as "partial transfer-messenger RNA". It matches the Rfam family "transfer-messenger RNA", at positions 259 to 374 of the family's 374-position model. From Rfam's summary of the family: Bacterial tmRNA, also known as 10Sa RNA or SsrA, is named for its dual tRNA and mRNA-like properties. Its role is to liberate the mRNA from a stalled ribosome. The record is from RNAcentral. Lineage: Bacteria; Bacillati; Actinomycetota; Actinomycetes; Micrococcales; Brevibacteriaceae.